RNAcentral lists this ribosomal RNA (196 nucleotides) under uncultured Sphaerocreas. RNAcentral's name for it is "partial 18S ribosomal RNA". It matches the Rfam family "Eukaryotic small subunit ribosomal RNA", at positions 569 to 766 of the family's 1831-position model. Lineage: Eukaryota; Fungi; Mucoromycota; Endogonomycetes; Endogonales; Densosporaceae. The record is from RNAcentral.
AGCAGCCGCGGUAAUUCCAGCUCCAAUAGCGUAUAUUAAAGUUGUUGCAGUUAAAAAGCUCGUAGUUGAAUUUUAGCCCUGGCUUGGGUGGUCCGCCUAAUGGCUGGUACUGCUCCGACUGGGGUUCUCCUUCUGGUGGGCCUGUAUGCACUUAAUUGUGUGUGCAGGUGCGCCAGGACUUUUACUUUGAACAAAU